This 69-nucleotide transfer RNA is filed under the name Ips nitidus. Its description in RNAcentral is "tRNA-Leu". Lineage: Eukaryota; Metazoa; Arthropoda; Insecta; Coleoptera; Curculionidae. The record is from RNAcentral.
GUUACAUUGGCAGAAUUAGUGCAGUAAAUUUAGAAUUUAUAAAUAUGAGUAUUUUAUUCAUAUGUAAUA